UUUUUAGUAUAAACAUGUUCCAUGCAAUAUUUGGGACAAACUUAUACUAAAA
Pan troglodytes (chimpanzee) is the source of this 52-nucleotide microRNA precursor. It matches the Rfam family "mir-1302 microRNA precursor family". Lineage: Eukaryota; Metazoa; Chordata; Mammalia; Primates; Hominidae. The record is from Rfam.